This 40-nucleotide ribosomal RNA is filed under the name Hansenula anomala. RNAcentral describes it as "Wickerhamomyces anomalus partial 28S ribosomal RNA". RNAcentral also lists the same sequence under 33 other names. Lineage: Eukaryota; Fungi; Ascomycota; Saccharomycetes; Phaffomycetales; Wickerhamomycetaceae. The record is from RNAcentral.
UUGACCUCAAAUCAGGUAGGACUACCCGCUGAACUUAAGC